Long non-coding RNA from Acanthopagrus latus (yellowfin seabream), 1691 nucleotides. RefSeq lists it as uncharacterized. The transcript has 8 exons. The record is from RefSeq and is a predicted model, not a curated record. NCBI's taxonomy places the organism in Eukaryota, Metazoa, Chordata, Actinopteri, Spariformes, Sparidae.
GACUGACAACCCCUUCAGCUUUAAAAAACCCAAGGAAAAUACCUUCAGCGCCAUAUAUGAUAUUAUUGUGAGUGGACAUUGAGGCAGAGUGGACUAGACCUUCAAUAAGACCUUCAAAUAGUCAGUGUGGAGAGAGAGGAUUUUCCAUUAACAAAGAAUUGACUGUGGAGAAUCAGGAGAGGAAGGUCUCUGGUGGCUCAGACGCUGUUUGUUGACCACGUCGGGUCUGUUGAGGGCAUGACCGAGAGCCUAAUUACAUAUCUACCGGCAGACAUUCAGAUGGAUUGAAUGCGGCUCUGAGCCAUAUGUGAUGUAACAAAAUUUGCUGUGCAGCCUCUGGUGCUGAAGCUAAUCCUAUCAAAUGAGACCACAGUCACCACGUCUAGACCGCAGGUCAUCUCUCAUCUAACAUAGAUCUGAAUUUUGACACCACACCUGGGAUGAAAAGGCAGAAGGAGUGCAAAGAAGUGAAAGGGGAUGGCAUAAUUCAGGAAUGACAGACAGUUCAGGGGCGCCUGGCGGCAGUUGCUCUCACCUGUGGUCUGUGCAGUUGGGUUAUGAAUCAGAAAGGCAUAUCUUUGAUGGCGAGCCCCCUGUGCUCACUCAUCACGGGUUGGACAGCUCUGUGCUCAUCUUGCUGUCUUGAAGGACGGUCUAUACUCUGAGUAUCUGACUACAGGAAAGCAGGGAGACAGCAUGGAAGGAGACUCAUCUCGCACUCAAAUAUCUCCGUGGGGAAUGGAAAGAUGGCAGAGAUGCAUGCCGAGGCCACUCCUUUUUUCUCUGGGCCACAGAAAGAGAAACAUUGGCACAGUUGACAGGGAAAAUGUGACAUUUUCUGCACCGUGAUACCUUACAUCUCCAAAUUGAUGCCUUGUCUGAAAUAGACAGAAGGAGGCGUAAUGAAUGUGCUUCGGUGACACAAAGACAUGCCACCAGGACAUUGUGGGAUCUCGGCUCUGGAGCAUUCUGACUGGUUCACUUUUUUAAAGCGCAGAGGGCCAGCUGUUUAUGUUAUUCACAUUUUAGUGGGGUUGGAGAAAAUGUGCGUCCAUCUACUGUAGCGGGGGGAUAAUAGUUUGGACGAAAGCAUCCAUUUCUAAAACCACUCUUUAUGCCAUUGUGGUCAAUCAGACAACAUUGAAAAGUAUUUUUUCAUGACACUGUUUGAAUUUCUCUUUAUUUACAGCUGAAACGUGGACAAAAGAUUAAAAUGACUGUCAUUUUCCUCAGUAGUCACGCUGUCAUCUCCACAUAUCAGCUGAAUCGUUGGUCCUUUAUGUGAAAUCUUUCACUGGUAGGAGACCAUGUAACUGUACGUGCGGCGUUCAAAUAGACUCAUGGGGAGGUCAUGGGAGUGCUGAGCUGACAAUCAAGGGACCAGCUGUCAUUCAUAGCGCCAUCACCAGCCGCGCCACGUCGAAUCCUCUGACGGCCGCACGACUACAAUGGCACAUUUCUGUUCUUCUUCUGACAGGAUUGCAAAAUUUGGCUCCCAUGUCUCACGUGACCUCUUUACAGCCAAUCAUGAUUGAUGUAGGUUAUGAUGACGGCCAUGUUUCACAACUUCAUCUGAAGGAACUUGUAGGAGAAUGCACAGACGCCCCGACGGUGUGAGCUGAGGACAAAAACAAGUGCCCCUGUCUCAGAGAGCGUCCGGCUGCAAGAAGAAGACGAAGGAGGAAAAAAAA